This 489-nucleotide ribosomal RNA is filed under the name uncultured bacterium. RNAcentral's name for it is "SSU rRNA". It matches the Rfam family "Bacterial small subunit ribosomal RNA", at positions 26 to 522 of the family's 1533-position model. The record is from RNAcentral.
AGGACGAACGCUGGCGGCGUGCCUAACACAUGCAAGUCGAACGAGGUUAAUCCGGUAGCAAUACUGGUGACUGCCUAGUGGCGAACGGGUGAGUAGCACGUGAGCAACCUGCCCCGAAGACCGGGACAACACCGGGAAACCGGUGCUAAUACCGGAUACCCCCACCUAAUCGCAUGAUCUGGUGAGGAAAUGGAUUCCGCUUCGGGAGGGCUCGCGGCCUAUCAGCUAGUUGGUGAGGUAACGGCUCACCAAGGCUUCGACGGGUAGCUGGUCUGAGAGGACGAUCAGCCACACUGGGACUGAGACACGGCCCAGACUCCUACGGGAGGCAGCAGUGGGGAAUCUUGCACAAUGGGCGAAAGCCUGAUGCAGCAACGCCGCGUGAGGGACGAAGGCUUUCUGAGUUGUAAACCUCUUUCAGCAGGGACGAGUUGUGACGGUACCUGCAGAAGAACGCCCGGACCAACGUACGCGCCAGCAGCCGCGGUA